AGUAGUCGCGAGUCACUGGUGUGGUGUCUAGUGAGCGAGAGGGUGUCUGCACGUUCUGUGAGCACUGUGGAUGAGACCUAGGCACAGCACAUAGUGAAGCCAGUUUUGGGUUGGUGACAGCCGAAGUUUUUGGACGCUUGACCCGAAGGGACGUUGCAGUGAUUGAACCUUUGCAAAGCAGUGACAAUGCCUGUUCAUUCAUCGCAGGGGUGCGGCUUGUAGUCGCCCUCUGCCAAGUUAAGUGCUAUUGACUUUGUCAUAAUUGUUAUUGGACUGCAGCUUGCCAUUGCGAGGAUGUUGCCUGCUGAUCGUGCUUCUGCUAUACUCUAGUAAAGGAGUGUCGUCCUGGUAUCCUGACCUGUCCAACGUGAGCCCGGCCGCCGCUACGAACCAGCCGCUGUGGGAAUACUAACACGCCUGACUAUUUAUCUCAGGGGUGCGGUUUACAUAAGCUGCCCUCUGCCAAGUUAAGUGCUGUUCUCCUCUUUCUUACUGAAUCGGGCGAGCCAGCGUCUGUUGGCUUCAUGGUUUUAAUACUGUAUUGCAGCUACGAUCGCCAAGUUAAAGUGCUGAGUCUGGACACUUACAAAGCCCUGUGUAUUUUCAAUGAACUCUCCGGCAUCGUAUUUCACAUCUGUGCUGUGAUGGAUUACCCCUGUGUGAUACUUUGAUGGACUUUGAUUGUUCUCGUGUGAUACUUGGAUGUAUUCUUCAUAGACUCUUGACGGACUUUGAUAGACUUUGAUAUUAUUUGGGCUGUAUUGUUGGUGUGGCCUCCUCUCACCUCGGAUCUCUGCUAUUGGCCCGUCUGGUGUCUGCGGCUCACCCGCUCAUAGCUGUCAGUCAUGAACCAGGACCCGCCCCUGCCCUCCUGCAAGCCAGCGUGUGUGUGUGUGUGCGCAGCCGGCUCUGAUUGCCUCUCCCGCUCCAUCCACUUGAACUGUGCAGUGCCGCAGACAGUUGCCGCUCAUCCAGUCAUUGCCAUACCCUGGAUUGUGGAUCUUAUCACAGACUGAGUAUUUUUAAACAAAAGAGUUGACUGCUGUCUCAAUACAAAAAUAAAUAUUUAUCUUUUCUAAAGCCUA
This is a long non-coding RNA of Alosa alosa (allis shad), 1085 nucleotides long. RefSeq lists it as uncharacterized. NCBI's taxonomy places the organism in Eukaryota, Metazoa, Chordata, Actinopteri, Clupeiformes, Clupeidae. The record is from RefSeq and is a predicted model, not a curated record. The transcript is spliced from 2 exons.